CCCGGCUUGGCGGAAUUGGCAGACGCAUGCGGUUUAAGCCCGCAUGUCCGUAGGACGUGGGGGGUCGAAGCCCUCAGCCGGGACCA
Molecule: transfer RNA, 86 nt
Filed under: Caudoviricetes sp.
Lineage: Duplodnaviria; Heunggongvirae; Uroviricota; Caudoviricetes
Description: tRNA-Leu
Source: RNAcentral